Molecule: long non-coding RNA, 10716 nt
Filed under: Marmota monax (woodchuck)
Lineage: Eukaryota; Metazoa; Chordata; Mammalia; Rodentia; Sciuridae
Source: RNAcentral
CUGGAGAACCUUAUUUGUGGCGGUCGCUGUUGUGCAGGUAGUUUGCCUUGAAAGCCUGUGACUUCACAUAUUAAGAAUGUCCUCCCUCCCCAACGACGGACUUCCUUGCUCUUCUGUCUUAUUUGUGUAAUUGGUGCCUAGAGAGGAUUUCCAAAAUCAUCCCCCCAAAUUGAAGUGCCAGAGGGAGUAUAGCCAAGGAACUGGCUCCUUCUCCAGGUCAUGAUGCUGGCCUGGUGUCCUCCAGCUCAGAGAUGGAAGGGAUGGAAGGCAGCAAAUGGAAGGCACAGGUGCUGGUCUAGCUCAGGCGUGGGAAGUAGUCAGGAUAACUUACCUCUCUAGGCAUUAGUUUCCUGAUCUGUAAAAAUAAUGUCCAAGGUCAUAUCCCAGUAAACUUUUAAGCGUGACCAUGUCUGGAAUAAGUUCAGGGAAUGUGGGGGCUCCUAGGAACAGCUAUAGGUCUGAUCUUGGCUUUGAGCUCUCUUGAGUGUAUGGGAUUGAGGCUGUGGGGACUGUGUCCUCUACCUAACCCAGGGCUCAAGCUCCGUUCACUCUGGAGCCAGUCUCGGAAUCACCUUGACAUUUUGAGGGCCUUUCAGUGGAUUUCUAAGUCACAUUCCCUGGCCUGAUAGAAAGGCAAGCCAGGAGCAACGGCACACACCUGUCAUCCCAGCAACUUGGGCGCCUGAGGCUGGAGGGUCGCAAGUUGGAGGUCAGCCAGGGCAACUUAUUGAGUAUCUAUCUCAAAAUUAAAAAUAGAAAGGGCUGGGAAUGAAUCUCAGUGGUGAAACACCCCUGGGUUCAAUCCCCAUUAAUAAAAAGAGAAGAGACCGCAGCCACCAGGGACCAUCCUGGAACUAGAAAAAUCUAAGGGAACAAGGGGAGAGGGAAUCUCAAGAGGAGAGGGGAAAGGGCGAAUUCCUGAUAGCACAGCAGAUACUUUCACAGCAGUCUUCUUGUAAUGGGGCUUCCGUUUGUCCAAUACCCCCUGCCCCCCGCCAAAAAGCUGUCUGUCUCUCCCCUCCCCACUUCCCAUAGAAAUCACAGUUCCUCUACCUUUUGGCAUUAUCUCCCAUGUCUCAAAUGUAAUCAACUUCUCUCUCUCUCUCUCUCUCUCUCUCUCUCUCUCUCUCUCUCUCUCUCUCUGUCCAUCUUGGCAGUGAACCCCUGGGCUCAACUCUACUGAAGUUACAUGAGUCCUAUGGUUCAGAGAGAGAACCUGAGUCAGCAGAGCUACCCCGACUCGGCACCCCAGGUUAGCCACAAUGGGACCAAUCCUCUAGUCCUUCCUUUGGCCUAAUUCCCACUGAAAUCCAAUGCCCAGGAAGAACUACAGGCCUUAUACAUACAGUUAUGAACAAAGGUUUUUAAAAGGCUUGAGGGCAAGAAAUGGGAAUCUGCAUCUCUCUCUCAGCAAUCACCCUGUGCUUAUUAUUAUAACAGCCCAAUUAUCCAUGCAUCUGCUCACAAGGCGGGGGCAGGGCAGCAGGGCCACUCUGGCCUGCGCCCUCUCUUUGGCCCGACCCUCUCCUGGCAGAUGGGAUCAGCCCACGUCUCAUCAGGAGCGAGAGAGGAGAAAUGAGAAAUGGAGAGUCAGAAGGAUUUAAUAUGUCCAUCAACCCCUCCUACUCACUCUCCACUACCUUGUGUGUUUAUUAGUUAGCAUUUUAUGUGGUAAGUUAUCCUGAACAAAUACUAUUAUGGGAUUGAAAAGGGAAACCAAAAGGUAUUUAAAAAUGCCGAGUCAUGGAGGAAGCUUGAAAGGAAUGAUGGGAGUAGAUUUAGAGACCGGGGAGAAAUUAUGUCUCUGGACAUUAACGUUGGAUAUUCUGGAGACUGAUUCCCCCAAAUGAUAACUCUUUAUUCUAAGAAUAAAGGACCCAAAGGACAUGAGGUAGAAAUGGUAAACUUGCUAAUGAUUUACAGGGGUGCUCCACCCUGGCUGUCCAUGAGAAAUGCUUGGGGAAUAAAAAUUAGUCAUGAGGGGACCCACCCCUCAAAGGAGGAUUCCUGGAUGGUGGGGCUCAGGCAUUAAUAUUUUUAAAGGCUCCCCAGAUGAUUUUGAUACACAGGGAAGGCAAAGAAGACCAAAAGACAGUCAGCACUGUUUUCUUCAAUAAAGAAGGAAGUUGGGAGAUGCCCAAAGCAGAAAAGAAACCAUUUGUGGUUUUAAAUACAUGAUACCAAUUUAAUAUAAUACUGACUUUAGUAGCAACUAACACUUUGUGCACUAAGCACUUUACUUGCAUAAAUUCAUGUAAUUCUGAUAAUAAUCUAGGAAGAACACAUAAUUAUUGGCCCCAUUUUACAAAUAAGGGCACCAAGGCUUAGGGAGAUGUAGUAACUUGACCAAAGCCAACAUAUUGACUCUAAUGUGUAACAGGCACAUAAACGUAGAUAGCAUGGAAAAUGCCAAGAUAAGCAAGACACAGGCCGACUCUCAAGUUGCUACCUUGGAGUAGAGGAGCAAAUAAAUGACGAAAAGUCCAAAGUACAAUAUGACAACCGCAUAGAGUUACAAAACAUGCAGGAACCACAGGACAGGGAGAAGGAGCAAAGGCUCUGGGGGAGUGGAGUCAAAUAGGAAGAUAAGCUGCAGAUUCUGCCAGGCGAUGAAGGCCGCAGGGUAGCAGCAGAAGGAGGAGGUCCCAGGGAGAAUGCAUAGUGUACAGAAACACAAGAAAGAGCUGAAAACUGGCAAACGGCCCAGUGCACUGAAGAUUUUUUUUUUUUUAAAAGGCAUAAGGCUGGGGAGGAAGUUUCCCUGAACUGUGGGAGUUUUAAUAGGAUCUUGAAGGUACAGGAUAUGCACAGGUAUCCAAACAGGGGGUGCCAUGGCACAGUGAGUGUUUCAGGAGAUCUUCCAUAGGAAGGCGAAGCAAUCCCAGGCCACCAGGCUUGGAUCUCAGUGAAUGCAAGGAGGACAGAAGAACUAAGGCACCUGGGAAAUAUUUUGCAUCCAGCUCUGAUGCUUGAUCUUGCACUGAGUUAUUAUUCUAUGUAAGAGCCACAGCCCUGGCCUGGCUAGAACUACCCUGAUAAAUCCAUCUUUCUCCAGUGACUGUGGUUGCUGCUAUAGUUUCUAGGGUAAAAGAGGGUGUGUAGUUAUAUUCUCUACAUAUUUUAGAUUUCUGUUGCUUUUAGACUUUGUACUUUUUCUCAGUGUCUAUGAGGACACAUGAUAUUUGAUUUUUCCCAUCAAAAAUGAAAUGAAGAGAAUGAAAACACAGGGUGAUGGCUAGGGAUGACUUCUUUAUAUUUUUCAUAUGGUAGAGUAUUUCUUACUUUCCGCUGCAGAACUUCCACUAGGACCUGGGACUCUGGGGGUGUCACAGUUUGGCUAAUGAAAAAUAUAUUUACUAGCAACUUUAUGUUUUAUCUUUAAAAUUCAUGUAAAUUCUAUAAUCCUGUGAUAUAUCCAGACUUUCCUGUUAUGACAUACCUGGUUUAUCCCAUGACUUUGUAGGAACUUCUGGCUCCCCACCAUGGAUUGCCCUUUGUCAAAAGACCAUCCUGAUAAUUUCAGCGUAGGACUGCAUUUUUUACUUGAACAUGAGUCACUUGAAAGGCUGCUUUAAGUUAUCUAUUUCACUAUAAUCAAAGAAAACAGCUUGUAAACCUUAUUUGCUCUUUUUUCCUCUUCCGCACAGGCUAACGUAGACAUUAACGUAUAUGUCAUCGUGCCACUUGGUGAAAAAAUGCUCUUCAAUUAAAGACCCCCUUUGUUUACAAGGUCAGUAAAGAUAUGACGAAUCUAUUAAAAGUCUAAUCACCUUCUCCACUGUGCAAAAUCUACGCAGGGGAAAGACCAGAGGGGAAGGAGAGUUUCAGAAAAAGAAGUCGACUUGGACAUUUGACCAAUAUAGAGUGACAGCAGGAAGACAUCCUUGAUCUUCAUGAAAAGUAGGUACCCUCUGUAGAUCUUCAUCUUCAUGCACAAUGACACCUCCUGCUCCAAAAGCUCAUGGCCCCCCAGGUAUAUUUGCUGUUGCUUCUCUCCUUUCCAAGGUUCUGGCUUCCUUUCAAGCCAUUAGAUUCUCACAUCUAACACCUUCUUCUCAGCCAGCUUUUCUGUGGCUUUUCUUCCUUAUGGGCCUUUCAUAGCUCAUUCGCUGCUUCUUUUUGUUCUUUUUGGCACUGGGGGUUGAACCAGGAGUCUUUACCACUGAGCUACAUCUCUGGUUCUUUUAAUUUUUUUUUUUUUUUUAAAUUUUGAGACCCAAUCUUGCUAAGUUGCUUAGGGCCUUGCUCAGUUGCUGAGGUUGGCCUUGAACUUGCAAUCCUCUGCCUCGGCCUCCUGAGCUACUGGAAUUACAGGUGUGCACUACUGCACCCUUGAGCUUAUAGCUCACUCAUUUCUAUUUUUUGUUUAAUGUUAGGGAUUGGUCCCAGGGCUUUGUGCAUGCUAAACAUGCUCUCCAUCACUGACCUACACCCUUAACACCUUUAUCCCAUCUUGAUAAAGCACUUAGUAGAGUCCAUCUUCUCACCCCAUCUGUUGCUUCUCAGAUUUCUCCAGCGAUGUUGCCUCUGUAGUGGACAGUUAAUGCCAGGAUUCCCCAAAUCCUGCCCUUUUCCACUUGGACUCUCCAGUUACUGCAGUGGGCUCACUCUCCAUGGCAAGAUUGUGUUUGGCAGGGCUUGCCCUUCCCUGGGCUCCUCACCACCAGAGCACUCCUGCCCUGAUAUCAGUCCAAUGACCAGACACCACAGUCGGUUGUGGAAUAGGUGGUGUUCAUUCUAAAUAUUACAAUUGCUGGCCCAAUCCAUUUUCUUUCCUGCUCAAGCCAAACUACAACAGAUAAAAUGUAUUAGCCACUUGUUAAAUAUUUCUUGACUCUGAUAUGCCUCUAUCAGAGACCUGUAUUCAUGAAAACACUCAUAGAUGAGCCAAGAAGACAACAUUGUAUGGCAACUACCGCAUUCUCCUAUCCUUCCAUGCACUUCCUGUUUAUUGCUUAGGACUUGAUCAACCUGUAUCUAUUACUGCCUGGGGCACAUCAGAGUCACCCAAAAUCCUGUUAGAUGACUAUGUUGAAAGAGUUGCUCCUGCAUAGGAUGGGGGACAAAUUUUGGACCCCUGAGUGGCACGGUUGUCCUANAGGCUUGAGGGCAAGAAAUGGGAAUCUGCAUCUCUCUCUCAGCAAUCACCCUGUGCUUAUUAUUAUAAUAGCCCAAUUAUCCAUGCAUCUGCUCACAAGGCGGGGGCAGGGCAGCAGGGCCACUCUGGCCUGCGCCCUCUCUUUGGCCCGACCCUCUCCUGGCAGAUGGGAUCAGCCCACGUCUCAUCAGGAGCGAGAGAGGAGAAAUGAGAAAUGGAGAGUCAGAAGGAUUUAAUAUGUCCAUCAACCCCUCCUACUCACUCUCCACUACCUUGUGUGUUUAUUAGUUAGCAUUUUAUGUGGUAAGUUAUCCUGAACAAAUACUAUUAUGGGAUUGAAAAGGGAAACCAAAAGGUAUUUAAAAAUGCCGAGUCAUGGAGGAAGCUUGAAAGGAAUGAUGGGAGUAGAUUUAGAGACCGGGGAGAAAUUAUGUCUCUGGACAUUAACGUUGGAUAUUCUGGAGACUGAUUCCCCCAAAUGAUAACUCUUUAUUCUAAGAAUAAAGGACCCAAAGGACAUGAGGUAGAAAUGGUAAACUUGCUAAUGAUUUACAGGGGUGCUCCACCCUGGCUGUCCAUGAGAAAUGCUUGGGGAAUAAAAAUUAGUCAUGAGGGGACCCACCCCUCAAAGGAGGAUUCCUGGAUGGUGGGGCUCAGGCAUUAAUAUUUUUAAAGGCUCCCCAGAUGAUUUUGAUACACAGGGAAGGCAAAGAAGACCAAAAGACAGUCAGCACUGUUUUCUUCAAUAAAGAAGGAAGUUGGGAGAUGCCCAAAGCAGAAAAGAAACCAUUUGUGGUUUUAAAUACAUGAUACCAAUUUAAUAUAAUACUGACUUUAGUAGCAACUAACACUUUGUGCACUAAGCACUUUACUUGCAUAAAUUCAUGUAAUUCUGAUAAUAAUCUAGGAAGAACACAUAAUUAUUGGCCCCAUUUUACAAAUAAGGGCACCAAGGCUUAGGGAGAUGUAGUAACUUGACCAAAGCCAACAUAUUGACUCUAAUGUGUAACAGGCACAUAAACGUAGAUAGCAUGGAAAAUGCCAAGAUAAGCAAGACACAGGCCGACUCUCAAGUUGCUACCUUGGAGUAGAGGAGCAAAUAAAUGACGAAAAGUCCAAAGUACAAUAUGACAACCGCAUAGAGUUACAAAACAUGCAGGAACCACAGGACAGGGAGAAGGAGCAAAGGCUCUGGGGGAGUGGAGUCAAAUAGGAAGAUAAGCUGCAGAUUCUGCCAGGCGAUGAAGGCCGCAGGGUAGCAGCAGAAGGAGGAGGUCCCAGGGAGAAUGCAUAGUGUACAGAAACACAAGAAAGAGCUGAAAACUGGCAAACGGCCCAGUGCACUGAAGAUUUUUUUUUUUUUAAAAGGCAUAAGGCUGGGGAGGAAGUUUCCCUGAACUGUGGGAGUUUUAAUAGGAUCUUGAAGGUACAGGAUAUGCACAGGUAUCCAAACAGGGGGUGCCAUGGCACAGUGAGUGUUUCAGGAGAUCUUCCAUAGGAAGGCGAAGCAAUCCCAGGCCACCAGGCUUGGAUCUCAGUGAAUGCAAGGAGGACAGAAGAACUAAGGCACCUGGGAAAUAUUUUGCAUCCAGCUCUGAUGCUUGAUCUUGCACUGAGUUAUUAUUCUAUGUAAGAGCCACAGCCCUGGCCUGGCUAGAACUACCCUGAUAAAUCCAUCUUUCUCCAGUGACUGUGGUUGCUGCUAUAGUUUCUAGGGUAAAAGAGGGUGUGUAGUUAUAUUCUCUACAUAUUUUAGAUUUCUGUUGCUUUUAGACUUUGUACUUUUUCUCAGUGUCUAUGAGGACACAUGAUAUUUGAUUUUUCCCAUCAAAAAUGAAAUGAAGAGAAUGAAAACACAGGGUGAUGGCUAGGGAUGACUUCUUUAUAUUUUUCAUAUGGUAGAGUAUUUCUUACUUUCCGCUGCAGAACUUCCACUAGGACCUGGGACUCUGGGGGUGUCACAGUUUGGCUAAUGAAAAAUAUAUUUACUAGCAACUUUAUGUUUUAUCUUUAAAAUUCAUGUAAAUUCUAUAAUCCUGUGAUAUAUCCAGACUUUCCUGUUAUGACAUACCUGGUUUAUCCCAUGACUUUGUAGGAACUUCUGGCUCCCCACCAUGGAUUGCCCUUUGUCAAAAGACCAUCCUGAUAAUUUCAGCGUAGGACUGCAUUUUUUACUUGAACAUGAGUCACUUGAAAGGCUGCUUUAAGUUAUCUAUUUCACUAUAAUCAAAGAAAACAGCUUGUAAACCUUAUUUGCUCUUUUUUCCUCUUCCGCACAGGCUAACGUAGACAUUAACGUAUAUGUCAUCGUGCCACUUGGUGAAAAAAUGCUCUUCAAUUAAAGACCCCCUUUGUUUACAAGGUCAGUAAAGAUAUGACGAAUCUAUUAAAAGUCUAAUCACCUUCUCCACUGUGCAAAAUCUACGCAGGGGAAAGACCAGAGGGGAAGGAGAGUUUCAGAAAAAGAAGUCGACUUGGACAUUUGACCAAUAUAGAGUGACAGCAGGAAGACAUCCUUGAUCUUCAUGAAAAGUAGGUACCCUCUGUAGAUCUUCAUCUUCAUGCACAAUGACACCUCCUGCUCCAAAAGCUCAUGGCCCCCCAGGUAUAUUUGCUGUUGCUUCUCUCCUUUCCAAGGUUCUGGCUUCCUUUCAAGCCAUUAGAUUCUCACAUCUAACACCUUCUUCUCAGCCAGCUUUUCUGUGGCUUUUCUUCCUUAUGGGCCUUUCAUAGCUCAUUCGCUGCUUCUUUUUGUUCUUUUUGGCACUGGGGGUUGAACCAGGAGUCUUUACCACUGAGCUACAUCUCUGGUUCUUUUAAUUUUUUUUUUUUUUUUAAAUUUUGAGACCCAAUCUUGCUAAGUUGCUUAGGGCCUUGCUCAGUUGCUGAGGUUGGCCUUGAACUUGCAAUCCUCUGCCUCGGCCUCCUGAGCUACUGGAAUUACAGGUGUGCACUACUGCACCCUUGAGCUUAUAGCUCACUCAUUUCUAUUUUUUGUUUAAUGUUAGGGAUUGGUCCCAGGGCUUUGUGCAUGCUAAACAUGCUCUCCAUCACUGACCUACACCCUUAACACCUUUAUCCCAUCUUGAUAAAGCACUUAGUAGAGUCCAUCUUCUCACCCCAUCUGUUGCUUCUCAGAUUUCUCCAGCGAUGUUGCCUCUGUAGUGGACAGUUAAUGCCAGGAUUCCCCAAAUCCUGCCCUUUUCCACUUGGACUCUCCAGUUACUGCAGUGGGCUCACUCUCCAUGGCAAGAUUGUGUUUGGCAGGGCUUGCCCUUCCCUGGGCUCCUCACCACCAGAGCACUCCUGCCCUGAUAUCAGUCCAAUGACCAGACACCACAGUCGGUUGUGGAAUAGGUGGUGUUCAUUCUAAAUAUUACAAUUGCUGGCCCAAUCCAUUUUCUUUCCUGCUCAAGCCAAACUACAACAGAUAAAAUGUAUUAGCCACUUGUUAAAUAUUUCUUGACUCUGAUAUGCCUCUAUCAGAGACCUGUAUUCAUGAAAACACUCAUAGAUGAGCCAAGAAGACAACAUUGUAUGGCAACUACCGCAUUCUCCUAUCCUUCCAUGCACUUCCUGUUUAUUGCUUAGGACUUGAUCAACCUGUAUCUAUUACUGCCUGGGGCACAUCAGAGUCACCCAAAAUCCUGUUAGAUGACUAUGUUGAAAGAGUUGCUCCUGCAUAGGAUGGGGGACAAAUUUUGGACCCCUGAGUGGCACGGUUGUCCUACCCCAAGGAAUUGGGAAGCAACUGGAAGGAGGGCAAAAGGGAAAGUAUGUCUGGUCAGAAAUACACGCACAAGGAGUCUCAACUGGAAAGUUUACAGUGAGGGAAGAAACACUGAAGAGAACUGUAAUCCCUUGAAACUGCCUGAACCUAAUACAAGGGACACUUUCAGGGGACACGUUGGGAAGAGUUGAAGCCACAAUUGGAUUUGUUACCUGAAGUCAGGGUUGGAUACAGGAAAAUGGUUGAGCAGAAGCAAAAGGGAAACAUGAGAAGAGCUCAGGACUUGGGGAGAAGAGAAGUGCCGCAGUCAGGCUGGGCACAAAUAACCGGGAGGUCAAGCCACUUGUAGAUUCAAGCAGGAAUGAACUUUAUUUUCAAACUCACACAAACGCCACCCACGCAACCCUCCAGAAACUCUGCGCGCUCUCAACCGGAACUCAACCAACCACGCGAACUCUCUAGGAACCUCGCGAGAGCUCAACCGGAACUCAACAGGAACUCCGCGAGAACUCAAAAAUAGCGGGCACCAGAGACAGCAGGAACCGCCUCCUUCUGGCAAAAUGCCAGGCACCAUCUUGACCUGGCCGUGGCUCUCAACAGAGAAGGAGGAAUAAACUCUUAAGGUCAACUCAAACAAGAACCAAAGACCCAAGUGUUGGGUGGGUAGAGGUCGACCACGUACCUUGGUCAAGUCCCUCAUUUCCUUGCUGGAGGGGUGGAAAUCUUUUCAAGGAGAGGAUCUUGGCACCGACCACAGGCUGCUAGGUCAAGCAGUGACAGCAGAGAGGUUACAAACUGCCCUGGUGUGCUGGCUUCCCUGUGGAGAGAGCGACAUAAGCACAGAUCCUGGCUAGUAGGGUUUUCUCCGGACUCCACGCCCACCAGGUCCCAGAGUUUCUGCUCACAACAGCGGAAAACAAUUACCAAAGAUACAAGGUGAGGAUGCUGUAUUAUUUAUACACCGACUGCCCACCUCUAGACUUUCCAGACAGCAACGUCAGUGUUUUCUACCCAACAAUAAAAAUUUGUGAAUGGCCAUUUAUUUGCAGAAAUAAACAUAAUCUCAAAAGGACUGUACCCAAUGAAACUCUUGUUACUGGGUUCCAUGACUUUUCUGAAAGGGCCAAUUAAAUGCAUCACGCAGGGAAAGCCACUUAGAACAGACCCUGUCAAAUGUUCUUCAUGAAAAGGGACCUGGAGUCAUAGUACAAAGACUUCCUUGGGAGGCCAGGCCUUCCCUGAUGCUUAUCUGAAAGACUCACCAUUCUCUACAUGUGAAUGAGAUUUCUUGUUGUCAUGGUUACAGUUAACAGUAAUUCAAUUCAACAUAAUGACAUAUAUAUGCAUCAAUGGUGACAUCAGAGUUGACCCCUCUGUGUCUGAAAAGAAGCUCUGAUGCCUGUCUUUGGACGUCCCAGGAGGGCACUCUGCAGCCCUACGUAGCCUUGGGCUUCUAUGCAUUCCUCUCCUUCACAGUUAUUGAAAUCUACUAUGUGGCAGGUCCUCUGCUGGACCUAGAGAUACUGUAAUAAAUACCUCAAUGACUAAGGAAAUUGGAAUUUGGAUGUAAAAAACAAGACCAAGUAGUCUACCACACAGGAUAAUGGUGUCAAGUAAAGGAAGGCACUGCAGAGGCCCACUCCAAAUGAACCGCUCGGGUUCAUUUAGUUAUGAAAAAUGGCAUGCAUUUCUUUCCUAUAGUGUCCCAGUGAACUACUACAUUAGUGACUUAAAAUAACCAAAAUGUGUACAUUAGAAUUCUGAUGAGGGUCUCAAAGGGCUUAAAUCAAAGUGUUGAUAGCCCUGUGUUCCUUUUUGGAGACUCCAGGGGGAAAAAAAAUUCCAGUUUUUAAAGGCAGCCCACAUUCCUUGGCUCCUGGCCCCUUCC